This 97-nucleotide signal recognition particle RNA is filed under the name Gammaproteobacteria bacterium. RNAcentral's name for it is "signal recognition particle sRNA small type". It matches the Rfam family "Bacterial small signal recognition particle RNA". From Rfam's summary of the family: The signal recognition particle (SRP) is a universally conserved ribonucleoprotein involved in the co-translational targeting of proteins to membranes. Archaeal SRP consists of a 7S RNA and homologues of the eukaryotic SRP19 and SRP54 proteins. Lineage: Bacteria; Pseudomonadati; Pseudomonadota; Gammaproteobacteria. The record is from RNAcentral.
UGUCGGCCCCCACGCAAUGUUAAGUUAUGAACUCCGCCAGGCCCGGAAGGGAGCAACGGUAGUAGCUGAUGCAUGUGCAGUGGAGUGGCUGGCAAGG